UACGUAGGUGGCGAGCGUUGUCCGGAAUGAUUGGGCGUAAAGGGAGCGCAGGUGGGACGGUAAGUCCUUCUUAAAAGGCAGGGGCUCAGCCCCUGUAAGGGAAGGAAACUAUCGUUCUUGAGUGCCGGAGAGGAAAGCGGAAUUCCCAGUGUAGCGGUGAAAUGCGUAGAUAUUGGGAAGAACACCAGUGGCGAAGGCGGCUUUCUGGACGGCAACUGACACUGAGGCUCGAAAGCCAGGGGAGCGAACGGG
RNAcentral lists this ribosomal RNA (252 nucleotides) under uncultured bacterium. RNAcentral's name for it is "partial 16S ribosomal RNA". It matches the Rfam family "Bacterial small subunit ribosomal RNA", at positions 524 to 776 of the family's 1533-position model. The record is from RNAcentral.